RNAcentral lists this ribosomal RNA (741 nucleotides) under Triticum aestivum (bread wheat). Its description in RNAcentral is "partial small subunit ribosomal RNA". Lineage: Eukaryota; Viridiplantae; Streptophyta; Magnoliopsida; Poales; Poaceae. The record is from RNAcentral.
AUGGUUUCCGCCGACGUGGCCCGCAACAUCGUCGGCAUCAUUGGCAAUGUCAUCUCCUUUGGACUCUUCCUCUCCCCUGUGCCGACGUUCUGGCAUAUCUGCAAGGCCAAGAACGUGGAGGAGUUCAAGCCGGACCCCUACCUGGCGACGCUCAUGAACUGCCUGCUCUGGUUCUUCUACGGGCUCCCUACCGUCCACCCCAACAGCACCCUCGUCCUCACCAUCAACGGCAUCGGCCUCGUCAUCGAGGGCGCCUACAUCAUCAUCUUCAUCAUCUACGCGGCCAAGAACACAAGGUGGAAGAUGCUCGGCGUGCUCGCCAUCCAGGCGGCGUUCAUGGCUGCUGUGGUGGCCGGUGUGCUCGUCGGCGCCCACACCCAUGAGAAGCGCUCCAUGAUCGUAGGCAUCCUUUGCGUCAUCUUCGGCUCCAUCAUGUACGCCUCCCCGCUCACCAUCAUGGGUAAAGUGAUCAGGACCAAGAGUGUGGAGUACAUGCCAUUCUUCCUGUCACUGGUAAACUUCCUCAACGGUCUCUGCUGGACGGGCUAUGCGCUAAUCAAGUUUGACAUCUACAUCACGAUCCCCAAUGCCCUCGGUACAAUCUUCGGCCUCAUCCAGCUGAUCCUUUACGGGUACUACUACAGAUCUACCCCCAAGAAGGGCAAGAAUGUCGAGCUGCCCACCGUCCUCACCAAAAACGCCGUUACCAGCGGCAACGUCUCUGUCACCAUAGAGAAAUAA